RNAcentral lists this unclassified non-coding RNA (379 nucleotides) under uncultured bacterium. Its description in RNAcentral is "contains 16S-23S intergenic spacer region". The record is from RNAcentral.
UCCGGUUUGUCACCGGCAGUCUCGCAUGAGUCCCCAACUAAAUGCUGGCAACAGGACACAAGGGUUGCGCUCGUUGCGGGACUUAACCCAACAUCUCACGACACGAGCUGACGACAGCCAUGCAGCACCUGUGCAAGCUCCCCUUGCGGGGUCGUCCCACUUUCAUGGUUCUACUACUUGCAUGUCAAGCCCAGGUAAGGUUCUUCGCGUUGCAUCGAAUUAAAGAACAUGCUCCGCUGCUUGUGCGGGCCCCCGUCAAUUUCUUUGAGUUUUAACCUUGCGGCCGUACUCCCCAGGCGGAUGACUUAACGCGUUAGCUGCGCCACCGGAACGCUAAGCGCCCCGACAGCUAGUCAUCAUCGUUUACGGCGUGGACUAC